This 78-nucleotide transfer RNA is filed under the name Desulfurococcales archaeon. RNAcentral's name for it is "tRNA-Met". It matches the Rfam family "tRNA". Rfam says of the family: Transfer RNA (tRNA) molecules are approximately 80 nucleotides in length. The record is from RNAcentral. Lineage: Archaea; Thermoproteati; Thermoproteota; Thermoprotei; Desulfurococcales. RNAcentral also lists the same sequence under 2 other names.
GCCGCCGUAGCUCAGCCUUGGCAGAGCGCCGGACUCAUAAUCCGGAGGUCCCGGGUUCAAAUCCCGGCGGCGGCACCA